Molecule: small RNA, 29 nt
Filed under: Bombyx mori (domestic silkworm)
Lineage: Eukaryota; Metazoa; Arthropoda; Insecta; Lepidoptera; Bombycidae
Description: ovarian small RNA-32657
Source: RNAcentral
UGAUCGAGGAUUACCUCGCAGGGCGGGCA